GGCCACAUGAGAAAGAUCAAGGGCUGUGAUGAUUAAUCAAUUAGGGAAGCUCAAAGCACCAAGCAUCUUCCUGGUUCCUGAGCACAGAGCAUGGUGUGAGGAGACCAGGAGGUGACACUGAGUGUGACAGCAGUACCCUGCCAGGCUGCAGGGCCUGAACAGCCUCCUGGGAGAGCCAGGCCUGCUCUUGGUGGGACUGUGCUUCUUCAGCAGCCUUCGUACUUCAUCAGGCCACAGCCCUCCUCUCCAUGCAUUUCUGGGAGCUUUAUGUUGCUCUGCAAGGCUUAGUGGCUCCUUAUCAAGCUGAUUUCCUGUCUUUCAGAAGUUGUUCAUCAGUAAUGCAGAAAAGGGGUGAUGCCACGGACUGCUCCCUGCCAGGAAGUCGAUGUGUCUGCCCCCUGCCAGGCUACAGAAAUAUGUCCAUUUACCAAAUGGGAUGCUGCAGCUGGGAGAUGCAGAAUGAACUCAGAAUUCAAUGUCUGCUGGCAAUGUGGCAGACAGGUGUGCUACCCAGUGGUGGAGGGACAGCCACCCACCUAACUCUGUCAGAUCUCCUGGUGGUUGUUGAAGCUAUCAGGAGCCACUGUGAUAAAAGCAAUGCUGUUAACGUGUAG
RNAcentral lists this long non-coding RNA (614 nucleotides) under Numida meleagris (helmeted guineafowl). RNAcentral describes it as "lncRNA (ENSNMEG00000017683.1)". Lineage: Eukaryota; Metazoa; Chordata; Aves; Galliformes; Numididae. The record is from RNAcentral.